This 492-nucleotide ribosomal RNA is filed under the name uncultured bacterium. RNAcentral describes it as "partial 16S ribosomal RNA". It matches the Rfam family "Bacterial small subunit ribosomal RNA", at positions 29 to 507 of the family's 1533-position model. The record is from RNAcentral.
AGUGAACGCUGGCGGUAGGCCUAACACAUGCAAGUCGAACGGUAGCACAGUAAGUGCUUGCUCUUACGGGUGGCGAGUGGCGUACGGGUGAGGAAUACAUCGGAAUCUAUUUUUUCGUGGGGGUUAACGUAGGGAUACUUACUCUAAUAUCGCAUCCGACCUUCGGUUGUAAGUAUUGGAUCUUCGGACCUUGCGCGCUUCAAUGUGCCGCUGUCGUAUUUUAUAGUUGUCGGGGUAAAGGCCCACCAAGGCGACGAUCCGUAGCUGGUCUGUGAGGAUGAUCACCCACACUGGAACUGAGACACGGUCAAGACUCCAACGGGAGGAGGCAGAGGGGAAUAUUGGACAAGGGGGGCAAGCCGGAUGCAGACAGACCGCGUGGGUAAAGAAGGCCUUCGAGUUGUAAAGCCCUUUUGAAGGGAAAGAAAAGCAGCAGGGUAAAAACCCGCUGUUGUGACGGUACCCAAAGAAUAAGCACCGGCUAACUUCGUG